UACGAAGGGGGCUAGCGUUGCUCGGAAUUACUGGGCGUAAAGGGCUCGUAGGCGGCCAACUAAGUCGGACGUGAAAUCCCUCAGCUUAACUGGGGAACUGCGUCCGAUACUGGAUGGCUUGGAUUUGGGAGAGGGAUGCGGAAUUCCAGGUGUAGCGGUGAAAUGCGUAGAUAUCUGAAGGAACACCGGUGGCGAAGGCGGCAUCCUGGACCAAUAUUGACGCUGAGGAGCGAAAGCCAGGGGAGCAAACGGG
Molecule: ribosomal RNA, 253 nt
Filed under: uncultured bacterium
Lineage: Bacteria
Description: partial 16S ribosomal RNA
Rfam family: Bacterial small subunit ribosomal RNA
Source: RNAcentral